AGGUAGGGGCAGCUUACACAUGCAGUCGACGAUGAUGCCCAGCUUGCUGGGUGGAUUAGUGGCGAACGGGUGAGUAACACGUGAGUAACCUGCCCUUGACUUCGGGAUAACUCCGGGAAACCGGGGCUAAUACCGGAUAUGAGCCGCCCUCGCAUGGGGGUGGUUGGAAAGUUUUUCGGUCAGGGAUGGGCUCGCGGCCUAUCAGCUUGUUGGUGGGGUGAUGGCCUACCAAGGCGACGACGGGUAGCCGGCCUGAGAGGGCGACCGGCCACACUGGGACUGAGACACGGCCCAGACUCCUACGGGAGGCAGCAGUGGGGAAUAUUGCACAAUGGGCGAAAGCCUGAUGCAGCGACGCCGCGUGAGGGAUGAAGGCCUUCGGGUUGUAAACCUCUUUCAGCAGGGAAGAAGCGCAAGUGACGGUACCUGCAGAAGAAGCGCCGGCUAACUACGUGCCAGCAGCCGCGGUAAUACGUAGGGCGCAAGCGUUGUCCGGAAUUAUUGGGCGUAAAGAGCUCGUAGGCGGUUUGUCGCGUCUGGUGUGAAAACUCGAGGCUCAACCUCGAGCUUGCAUCGGGUACGGGCAGACUAGAGUGCGGUAGGGGAGACUGGAAUUCCUGGUGUAGCGGUGGAAUGCGCAUAUAUCAGGAGGAACACCGAUGGCGAAGGCAGGUCUCUGGGCCGCAACUGACGCUGAGGAGCGAAAGCAUGGGGAGCGAACAGGAUUAGAUACCCUGGUAUGCCAUGGCGUAAACGUGGGGCAGUGGGUGUGGGUCUCAUUCCACGAGUUC
Molecule: ribosomal RNA, 791 nt
Filed under: Cellulosimicrobium funkei
Lineage: Bacteria; Bacillati; Actinomycetota; Actinomycetes; Micrococcales; Promicromonosporaceae
Description: bacterial SSU rRNA
Rfam family: Bacterial small subunit ribosomal RNA
Source: RNAcentral